CUCCACUCCUGACAAAUAUUUGCUCUGCUGGGUACACAGCCCUGGGCUGGCAGUCACGGUGGAAUGCAGGCAGUGCAUACCCACAGGACACACACAGCCCCAGACCAAGUGGCCCCGAGCUCCUGUGUGCUGGACAGUUCCUUUCCUGUGGCUGCUGUAACAAAUGACCACAAAUGCGGCAGCUUGACACAACAGGAAUUUAUUCUCUUCCAGUUCCGGAGGUCAGAAGUCUGAAAUGGAGGGGUCAGCAGGGCUGGGCUGUUCCUGCAGACGAUCACCAGGAUGAUCACUCUUGGGCUGUUUUGGCCCGACUGGCAAGUGUUGCAUAAGUCAAGAUGUCAAGAGGAGCCCCCCCCCCAAAUAAGAAGCAAGCACCAGAUGGAACUUUAAAAGAAAUACUAAAUACCUUCACCACUUCUGCCUUUCUAGAAGCAAGAUGAGGAGAGGCAGUGUUUCAUCUUCAGCCUGGGUCGUGCAAGCCAAGGGUGUCUGUAAUGUCCCUUGGUGGUGGUUCCAGGAUGAAACAGCACACCCAAGAGAGUACCUUCAAGUGGAGGCCAGAUGCAAGACAGACCUGCAGUCCCAAACAUACCAAAGGCUCUUGAGCACAGGUGCCUCAGAACAGAACAUUUAAGAAAACUGCAGGCCUGGACUGUGGGUGAAGACAGCAGAGAACAGAACUAAUCCCCCCUAAACAAGACACUGUUUCCUGCCUUCUUUCCCACUGCUUCUUCUAGUAGCUUCUUAUCCCAUUGUUGCCAAACUUGAUAUGUGCAUGCUAAGUAGCUUCAUUUAUGUCCAACUAUUUGUGACCCCAUGGACUGUAGUCCACCAGGCUCCUCUGUCCAUGGGACUCUCCAGGCAAGAAUACUGGAGUUGGUUACCACGCCCUUCUCCAGGGUAUCCUCCUGACCCAGGGAUCGAAUCCAUGUCUCUUAUGUCUCCUGCAGGUUGACAGGUGGGUUCUUUACGACUAGCACUCUCUGGGAAGCCUGCCCAGCUCCAUAUCAACACACUAUUCUGUAAAUUCAUGGUGGACGCUGGGAUCCCCACAAGGAAAUGAAGAUCCCCAUUCAGGAACGAAGCACAUGUUACCUCAGAGUGACCCUCACUGAGGGUGAGGUAAGUGACCCUCACUUACCCUCACUGAGGGUAAGCCUCAGCCACACUGAGGAUAAGCCUCAGCCACAGUCAAGAAGAGCCUCACUGAGGACAGCCACCCCGAGCAAGGUCACAUCCUCACAUCAGGCAGCCCACGUCUAAGGACUGAUUGUCAUAGGAGGAUAAAGGGCAAGCCCUCUCACUCCCCCUCCCACUUCAAACCAGCUCUGGAGUUUGGUCCCAGCUGCAGCCAGAGGCAGCUCAAGGCUUCCACGGAAACAUCAGCAGAUCCUGCUACCCUUUCUCAUUCCAUCCUGCUCCACAUCAAAGGACUCUCCCAUCAGCAUAAUUCUCCAGUCUCAGAACUGGGAUUGGAAUAAUCCAUCCGAAGCUCUGGGUGAAGCCAAAACUGCAACACAGAAGCUUAGAGCAGAAGUCAGUUCAAGGGGAUACCGAACACAAGAACUGGCCUGGAUGCUGCUUGUGGAGCUCUGCAGAUCCAAGAGCCCAGGAGGGGGUGAGGAGGAAGAGAGAGAGACGCCACUCAGAGUGUAUUGCGCUGCUCAGACUGCUCUUCUGGAAAAUUUAGCCCUACGAAAGCCACCAGCUUUGCAGCUGUAAAUCAAUUUCAGUUAUUCCUCUCUUCCCUGCCUCAAUUCCUCUCUCCUCCUCUCUCUCUUCUUCCCUCCCUCCCUUCUCACCUUUCUUAUCUUUCUUCCCAUUCUUCUAACUUAAUUUUUUCCAAUGAUUAAAAAAGAAAACCUAUUUAUUAUAAGCAUUUUAGAAUGCAAAGUAUUAAUAUGGAAAGAAAACUAUCACUCAGAGAUAAUCACUAGUAAGUAACAUUCUUUAAAAAAUUUUUUUUCACAGAGACCGUUUUUAAAACCUUUAUUGAAUUUGUCACAAUGUUGCUUCUGUUCUAUGAUUUGUUUUUUUGGCCUCGAGGCAUGUGGGAUCUUAGCUCCGCGACCAGGGAUUGAACCUAUAUCCCCUGCAUUGGAAGACAAAGCCUUAACCACUAGGCUGUCGGGAAAUUCCCAUCACUAGUGACAUUCUGAUAGUUCCUUUUGGCCUUACUAAUGUACAAUUUUUAAAAAUCAUAGAUGAGAACAUACUUGAGGUAGACUCUUGCAGUGAAGACCUUCCAUUGGUGCAUGCUUCCUUCUAUCCAAGCCCUUGACUGAUGCCCUCCCAGGCUGACUUUGAGCUUGGUCAUCCUGACUAGCUUUGGCUAACAUUGAUGUAAAGGCCUGGAUCUAAGUCCUUUCCCCCAGUACACACACACACACACACACACACGUAUGUAAAUAUGACAAGUAUACCCCAAAUAUUUAUCUAUUCUCAUUCUGAUAUCACACAUUAUCACAGUUUCACAGUGUAUUUUCUACAUCAGAGAGAAUGUCUCUAGUAUUACUCUUAUUUUUUAUAGAUUUCUCAGCACUUACAAUGUUGAUUCUUUCAAGUAACCGUGUGUUGGACACUUGCCAUGUUUUGGAGCUGCUUCUUUAGAGCAUCUUUGCUUUACAAACUCUGCUUUUUCCUCAUCUCCCAAGAGAGAAGCCAGGAAAUGUGAUUUCCCUGCCUCCCUUGCAGCUAAGGAAUAGAUAUGUGACCAAGGCUCCAGCAAUCCCACCCAAUCGAAUGAAAUUUUAGAAAUAAAACAACAUGAGAAAGUGUGCUCUGUGUAGAAUCUGUUUGUUUGAGAGGGUGACUACUGACAUCUAGCUUUGACAGCCAAUAGCAGCUGUGAGGCUGAGUUUCAGGCAUCAGUGUGGCAUUAGUGCUGGUGGCAGUACUAGUCACAACUGGUAUGCAUGCCUGGCAUCAAUGCUGAUGGGCUCAGCGCCCAGCAGUGGGAAGGCUGGUUCCCUCAUGAGGUCAGUUCUGCAACAU
This is a long non-coding RNA of Bos taurus (domestic cattle), 2994 nucleotides long. The record is from Ensembl. Lineage: Eukaryota; Metazoa; Chordata; Mammalia; Artiodactyla; Bovidae.